This is a non-coding RNA of Pelobates cultripes (western spadefoot toad), 813 nucleotides long. NCBI's taxonomy places the organism in Eukaryota, Metazoa, Chordata, Amphibia, Anura, Pelobatidae. The record is from the annotation of a GenBank genome assembly.
UAAAUGGUAUCUAUAGUGGUUGAAAUACAAACUAGGAAGUGCCCACUAGAGGCAGUUUUAGUCCUGUGAUGUAAUUAUUGCAGUUUCUCAAAAACUGCAAUGAUUUACAUUGCAGAACUAAGUGGGACUGGGACACUUCACUCAGACCACUUUAAUGAGAUGAAGUUUAAUGAGUUUCCCUUUAAGCCCCCAUAUUUAUAUAAAGGAUGAAUGAAUAAAUGAAAAAUACAAUUGGAAUAAUUUAUGUAAGUAAAAGUUAUCUAUGAAUAGCAUUUCUAUACAUGAAAUUGCUGUUUGAUUACUGUUCAUCAGAGUUUACUCUAAAUUGUGUUUUAAACAGAAAUUCAGUCGUGAAGUGGUUAAUUUCAGGCACUAUUCCAGAGGUAAAGAAAGUGCUUAGCACUUCCAGCUCUAUUACCUCUUUCAGCCUUUUGGAACUGAAAUGAUUGACAGAUUUAAUAUUUUGCUAUUUGACAGUGUGUUUUAUUAAGAUGUGAUACAGAGGAUUUCCCCACCCCAUUUUUCUUGAGGGCUUAGUGUACUUUAUACACUGUUUAUUGCUUAAAACUCAAUUAUUGAUGCACCUUUUUAGCAGAUAGUUUUAUAGUAGACAAGGGCUUAGUGUAUUUUGUGAAAAUAUUAUUUUUUCAAUGAUAUUUUAACUGCAAAAGUCUUUGAUACAAUAUAGUUUGUAUUGGAGAUCUUGAGGGGCACCUGUACACGUCUUUGUGGUAUUUUAUAAGCUUUUAUCAAUUGUUGAAAUAAAACCGUAAAAAAAUGUAAACUUUUAAGAUGUCAUUCAUCAGACUCUGC